Molecule: ribosomal RNA, 1017 nt
Filed under: Triticum aestivum (bread wheat)
Lineage: Eukaryota; Viridiplantae; Streptophyta; Magnoliopsida; Poales; Poaceae
Description: partial small subunit ribosomal RNA
Source: RNAcentral
AUGGCGACCGUCGUCGGCAUCGUCAUCCUGCUUUUCCUACUCGAACCGUUCCUGGCGGCCGUCGAUGUAUUCUGUGACAAUCUUAAGGUCGUGGCCGCGAGCCUCCCCAAGAACAUCUCUUCUUCCCCGGUACACUUCGCUACCGCCACCUUCGGCCAAUCCCCCGACGUGGUCUACGCGCUCGCGCUCUGCCGUGACGACCUCCUCAACGACACCGCCAGCGGCGAGUGCGUCACUAACACGUUCAAACUAACGCCACCGCCGCCGCAGCGGUGUUACCGCACCGCCCUCUACUCCGUGGGCGCCUACUUCACCGUCAACCCCUGUGUCCUUGCCUACUCCGUCGACAACAUCCUCGCGCCCGGCAACGGCGACGACAUGUUCUUGGAGUUUUGGACCACCAAAAACGUCACCGGCGACGUCCGCCUCAUCACCGGCCUUAUCCACGAGCUGCUCGUGGCGACUGUGGAAAAGGCGGCCAGCAUGGAGCUGACGCGGUUCGCCAUGGGAGUCGUGGACAGUCGCACCACCUUCCCGUUGGUGUAUUCCCUGGCACAGUGCACGCCGGACCUGUCCGCCGGCGACUGCUUGGCGUGCCUGCGUCGUCUCCUCAGGAGGAUCAACUCCACCACGUCCCAGUUUAUCGGAGGGCAGAUGUAUGACAUACGGUGUAACUUCAGGUAUGAGUCGUUUUCGUUCUACGGUGGGGAGCCAAUGUUGCAUCUUGGGCCGUCAUUGGCGCCUGCAGGAGCUCCGACUCCGACCAACAAGAGACGUAUCAGCAAGCCGUGGGUAAUUCCCAUAGUUGUGGUGCCUCUAGCAGUAGCAACGUUUCUCCGCUUCAUGUUUUAUUCUCGUUGGGUCAAAGGUAUGAUGGAUGGUGUGAUAGCAUUAUUCUUUCCUUUUCUGGGGGAGUCUGUCGGCCAACGCUACCGAGCACAUAUAAUGAUGGAAAACACACAUGGGUCGCUUGUUGAAUGCACCGGAGUUGCACAAAAACACCCCAAAAGUUGCUAA